AUAUCAAUAAGCGGAGGAAAAGAAACCAACAGGGAUUGCCUUAGUAACGGCGAGUGAAGCGGCAAAAGCUCAAAUUUGAAAUCUGGCUUCCUAUCUUGGGGCCCGAGUUGUAAUUUGGAGAGGAUGCUUUGGGUGUGGUCGCGGUCUAAGUCCCCUGGAACGGGGCAUCAUAGAGGGUGAGAAUCCCGUCUGGGACCGCUGGCCCCGCCCGUGUAAAGCUCCUUCGACGAGUCGAGUUGUUUGGGAAUGCAGCUCUAAAUGGGUGGUAAAUUUCAUCUAAAGCUAAAUAUUGGCCGGAGACCGAUAGCGCACAAGUAGAGUGAUCGAAAGAUGAAAAGCACUUUGAAAAGAGAGUUAAACAGCAUGUGAAAUUGUUGAAAGGGAAGCGCUUGCGACCAGACUCGCCCGCGGAGGCUCAGCCGCCAUGCUUUGGCGGUGCACUCCUUCGCGGUCGGGCCAGCGUCGGUUCUGACGGUUGGUUAAAGACUCUCGGAAUGUGUCGUCUCUCGGGGCGUCUUAUAGCCGAGGGUGCAAUGCGGCCUGUCGGGACCGAGGAACGCGCUUCGGCACGGACGCUGGCGUAAUGGUCGUAAGCGA
Molecule: ribosomal RNA, 597 nt
Filed under: uncultured fungus
Lineage: Eukaryota; Fungi
Description: eukaryotic LSU rRNA
Rfam family: Eukaryotic large subunit ribosomal RNA
Source: RNAcentral